RNAcentral lists this ribosomal RNA (789 nucleotides) under Weissella sp. RNAcentral's name for it is "bacterial SSU rRNA". It matches the Rfam family "Bacterial small subunit ribosomal RNA", at positions 33 to 789 of the family's 1533-position model. The record is from RNAcentral. Lineage: Bacteria; Bacillati; Bacillota; Bacilli; Lactobacillales; Lactobacillaceae.
ACGUGCGGAGCCUAUAAUGCAGUCGACGCUUUGUCUUUAUUGAUCUGACGAGCUUGCUCUGAUUUGAUUUUAUCUGACAAAGAGUGGCGAACGGGUGAGUAACACGUGGGUAACCUACCUCUUAGCAGGGGAUAACAUUUGGAAACAAGUGCUAAUACCGUAUAAUACCAACAACCGCAUGGUUGUUGGUUGAAAGAUGGUUCUGCUAUCACUAAGAGAUGGACCCGCGGUGCAUUAGCUAGUUGGUAAGGUAACGGCUUACCAAGGCAAUGAUGCAUAGCCGAGUUGAGAGACUGAUCGGCCACAAUGGGACUGAGACACGGCCCAUACUCCUACGGGAGGCAGCAGUAGGGAAUCUUCCACAAUGGGCGCAAGCCUGAUGGAGCAACGCCGCGUGUGUGAUGAAGGGUUUCGGCUCGUAAAACACUGUUAUAAGAGAAGAACGGCACUGAGAGUAACUGUUCAGUGUGUGACGGUAUCUUACCAGAAAGGAACGGCUAAAUACGUGCCAGCAGCCGCGGUAAUACGUAUGUUCCAAGCGUUAUCCGGAUUUAUUGGGCGUAAAGCGAGCGCAGACGGUUAUUUAAGUCUGAAGUGAAAGCCCUCAGCUCAACUGAGGAAUGGCUUUGGAAACUGGAUGACUUGAGUGCAGUAGAGGAAAGUGGAACUCCAUGUGUAGCGGUGAAAUGCGUAGAUAUAUGGAAGAACACCAGUGGCGAAAGCGGCUUUCUGGACUGUAACUGACGUUGAGGCUCGAAAGUGUGGGUAGCAAACAGGAUUAGAUCCCUG